UUUCUGAUUGUCAAGAUGCUCAGAA
This 25-nucleotide non-coding RNA is filed under the name Rattus norvegicus (Norway rat). The record is from RNAcentral. Lineage: Eukaryota; Metazoa; Chordata; Mammalia; Rodentia; Muridae.